Ornithodoros turicata is the source of this 10556-nucleotide long non-coding RNA. RefSeq lists it as uncharacterized. The transcript is spliced from 7 exons. Lineage: Eukaryota; Metazoa; Arthropoda; Arachnida; Ixodida; Argasidae. The record is from RefSeq and is a predicted model, not a curated record.
UGCCGUCUUUUGACGAUGGCAGGAUAAUUAUUGACCUGAGGAAUAAUAUGGAUUUAUGUGGUUGUGAAAAUAGACUUUGUGUUUGUGAGUGUGAAAAUGUUAGUGUGUGUGUGCGCGCGCGCACGCGCUGGGACCCCACUUGACAGGUAAGUGUUUGCCUUUUCGUGUGACACGAGUGAUACAUUUAUGUACUAUUGCGUGAAAUAGUGGUUUUAAAAAAUAAGGGCAGUCGCGUUUGCAUUGCUAUCUGUAGGAUAGGACGAGCGUUUUUAAUGGAAUUGCCUCGCGAACCUGGUGAAGUCUUUGUUUUGGGCAGGGUAUUUUAUGAGUGCCCGACGCCGGUCCUGCUGUUGUUUGUUUGUUUGUUAGUAUGUAUCUGUCACGUUCGUAGCGCUGUUCAGGCGCUAGCCGCGUAGCGAUAAGCGGUGAUUCUCCGAUUAUUCCUGAGCGGUACGACUUAAGCCUUUUCCCUGCUCACUUAAGGAAAUUUGUGUAUCCCUGUCCUGUGACACAAAUGCGUGUAAUUUUCGCGGUUCUUUUCUUCUGUCACUGCUUUUACUCAGAAUGUAGGUGAGGGGGGAAAAAGUCAGCAUCCAGGUAGAGCAGGAGAAAGCCGCUCGGCAGAGGAGAGUUCAUGAGAAUGGAAUUUGUUUGUUUUUUGUUAGUAUGUGUCUGUCACCUUCGUAGCGUUGUUCAAGCUUUAUUUUCUUUGCAAAAAUUCAGACUUUAUGGUAUUAAGCUGUUCGAGUAGAAGUGACUUUCCGUGCUCGCUUAAGAUAGAUUGUGUAUCCCUGUCCUGUGCUUUCUUCACGCAGGGCCAAUGCAAAUGAGUAUUUAGCAUUAUGCAAUAAUUAUCUGAUAGCAGAAAUGGGUGUCUUUGUCGCAGUUUAUUAGCGUGUGCGUCGUUCUUUUAUUUAUUUUUUUCUCUUAUAGCUAUGCGAGCAAAAGUGCGUGUAAUAUUUCGCUGCUCUUUUCUUAUUUUCUCUACUUUUUAUGUAGAAGAAAGCCUCCUGCGUAAAAGCUGAAUAGUGUUCUACCAGUGGAAGUGGGGUUGUUUGUUUGAUUUUGUUGGGUGUUCGAUAUCUUGACGAAGUAAGCAGUGCUUAAUUUUGCAGGUUUUUGAGCAGAAAUGCUGGUAUCUGAGCACGGAGUACAAAUUUCUAUAUUUCUCUGCUCCCUAAGAAAAUUUGUACGUCGUUUUCCAAGCAGACCGCGUUUAGUUUACGCGAAAUGAACUUAUGUAUGCUCUAUGAUGAUCCGCCGCAGGCUUAGCCCUUUUCCCCGAUCACCAGUGUUUUGGCAUUCGAUGUCGCAUGUCUAGACUUGUUCAGUAGUGUUGCAAUUUUUACCCUUCGCUGAUAUCUUGUUGGUGUCAUGUUGUGCUAGCCGCGUAGCGAUAAGCGGUGAUUCUCCGAUUAUUCCUAGGCGGUACGGCUUAAGCCUUUUCCCUGCUCACUGAAGGAAAUUUGUGUAUCCCUGUCCUGUGCUUUCUUUACGCAAGGGUAAUGCGUCUGUGUAUGUGGCACUAUCAUAUACCAGACAUGAGUGUCUUUUUCUUGGUUUAUUGGCAUAUGCUUCAGGUUUUUUAAGUCAAGCAAAAGUGCGUGUAAUAUUUCGCUGCUCUUUUUCUUAUUUUCUCUACUCUUAUGUAGAAGAAAGCCUCCGGCGUAAAAGCUGAAUAGUGUUCUACCAGUGGAAGUGCGGUUGUUUGUUUGAUUUUGUUGGGUGUUCGAUAUCUUGACGAAGUAAUCAGUGCUUAAUUUUGCAGGUUUUUGAGCAGAAAUGCUGGUAUCUGAGCACGGAGUAGAAAUUUCUAUAUUUCUCUGCUCCUUAAGAAAAUUUGUACGUCGUUUUCCAAGCAGACCGCGUUUAGUUUAGGCAAAAUAGAAAAAUGAAGUUGUGUAUGCUCUAUGAUGAUCCGCCGCAGGCUUAGGCCUUUUCCCCGAUCACCAGUGUUUUGUAUGCGAUGUCGCAUGUCUAGACUUGUUCAGUAGUGUUGCAAUUUUUACUCUUCGCUAAUAUCUUGUUGCUGUCGUCUUGGGUUAGACGUUGAGCUUCGUAGCGAUGUGCGGUAACGCUACGAUUAUUCCUGAGCGCUCCGUGUGUUUAAUGCGUUGUCCUCUGUGCGUGCAUGCGUGUGCUUUUUUUCCUGCUUUGUGACGUCAUCGUGGCAUGUCUGGACUUGUUUAGCAGUGUUGCAAUUUUACCCGCUGCUAGUAUGUUGUUGGUGUCAUGUUGUGCUAGCCGUCGAGUUUCGUUGCGAUAAGCGUUGAUUCUCCGGUUAUUUCUGAGCGGUUCGACUGCUCACUUAUGGAAAUUUGUGUAUCCUUGUCCUGUGCUUUCUUUACGCAAGGGUAAUGCGGCUGUGUAUGUGGCAUUAUGCAAGAAUUAUCUGGUGGCAGAAAUGGGUGUCUUUUUCUCAGUGUAUUGGCGUGCGCUACGGUUUCUUGCAGUUACAGCUAUUGGAGCACAAAUGCGUGUAAUUUUUCGCGGUUCUUUUCUCCUUUCACGGCUUUUACUCAGAAUGUAGAUGAGGGGAAACAGUCAGCAUCCAGGUAGAGCAGGAGAAAGCCGCUCGGCAGAGGAGAGUUCAUGAGAAUGGAAUUUGUUUGUUUUUUGUUAUCUGUUGAGUGUCAGUAUUCGCUUUCCUCGAUAUGUUGAGGAAGUCAGCCGUUAUAGGUAUUUGUGCAGAAAUGCUGGUAUCUGAGUGUGUGGAGUAGAAAUUCCUAUAAGCACCUCUCCUUGUGCAUUCCUGAGCUGCUGUGUGUGCGCGCGUGCUUCUUUUUCCUGGUUUGCGACGUCAUGAUGGCAUGUUGGGGCUUGUUUAGCAGUGUUGCAAUUUUACCCGCCGCUAUUAUCUUGUUAUUUGUGUUAGCCGCGUAGCGAUGUCCAGUGACUCUGCUAUUAUUCCUGAGGUCUUAAGCCUUUUCCCUGCUCACCUAAGGAAAUUUGUGUAUCCCUGUCCUGUGCUUUCUUUGCGACAAUGCGUCUGUGUAUGUGACACUAUCAGAUACCAGACAUGAGUGUCUUUUUCUUGGUUUAUUGGCAUAUGCUUCAGGUUUUUUAAGUCAAGCACAAGUGCGCGCAAUUUUUCGCUGCUCUCUUCCUCAAAUCACCGAUUUUACAUAGAAGAAAGUCGCAUGGUGCAGCUGAGAAGAGGGUUUCUCUUAUUGUUUGUUUGAUUUUGUUAGGAGCUCGGUAUGUUGAGGAAGUCAGCUGUAUCCGUAAAGAAAUGCUUGCAUCUGAGCGCAGGAUAGGUAUUCCUGAAGCACGGCACCCUCAGUGUAAAUUAAUUAUUUUGGAUGUGAGUCUGCUUCACUGCAUGACAAGGCUGAAAUGGGAACAGAGAAAAAAUUGGAGCGCUUCAUUAAUAACGAUCCAAGUAAUAGGGUAAUUAUAGUUUCCAUAGAAAGUUGGGCUCCUAAAAUUAUAGUUUAGUUGUAGUUUUUCUAAACUGCAAUGCAAUAAUCAUUAAUAUAGUAUAGGAAUGCUAUCGUGUUCCCGUAAAGGCGUUCUGUCUUGUGCUUUGGAAUGCGCGAAUAGAACUUUGCUACCAGGCUUUCCCGCCUUUAUGCUCGCAAUGCGCGAAUGGAACUUUGCCCACCCGGCUUCCGCGCCUUUUUUGCUCGCAGGUGCAGCCUCAGACAACGAAUGUAUGAGCAUAGAAAGGGUCACGUAUUACAUAAGCCUGGAGGUGAUGUUGAGUGAUCUCACUUAUUAUUUUAAAAGAGCAGUGGCAGUUUACUGUAAUUCUAAUGACCAUGAUGAGCCUUUGGGGUGAAAAUCGUUAAUAUGCGGGGUGCUUUUUUGUUGAAUUUUAAUGAGAGAAUCAAUGUCAUUAAGAGUAGGACAAAGGAAAUAAUCUUGCGAUUCAAUGAAUGAUAGGAGUCUUUGCCGGUGUCUUCUUCUUCAGACAGGAUGUGAUGACGUCAUGCAGUCUGUAUCAAUGCAUUGACCAUUACUGGAAAAAAGUGUGGCAAUAGAAAAAUGGUGUGUAUUGUCCUGGGCAGAUUUAUGAUGAGCACUGUUUUUGAAUAAGAAGAAAUAGUUUGAUGCUGGUUUCCUUCUUUGUUUCUUUUCGCUUUUUCCCCCCUUGUCUGACAAACAUGUGCUGACCAUGUCUGGGCUUGUUCUGACAUGCUUUCCUUCUGCAUGUAGUUUUUUUCUUUUUGUACAAGGCAUAUUCUUGACGAUAGUGCUGCCUUGAAUGGGAGUAGAGCUAUUCUUAAUAAUUUUGCGAUUCAUUUAGUUCAGAGAGUAACCGCGAGGGGGACAGGUGUGUGACUUUAUGUCUUGCUGAACCAUUUUUUUUCCUGUACAGUAAGACUUUGGGCAUGAAAUGCUACAAUCUCCUCUUGUCUAUGGUGCUCUUCUGCAAUAGUUCCCUAUGUAAUCGUUAUAGAAGAAUAAAGGAAAUAACCUUGGGAUAGUGAUUCAAUAAAUAAUAGGUCCCCUGUCUAGAGCGUACGCGUCCUUGAGCCACGCACCUGCAUGAUGACCGCAUACCGAGAGACUAUUGUUUCAGGUUGACCUUGUCUAGAGGAGCAUUAGUGGAAAAAAAACUGUGUAGCCCUGAGACAAUAGGAUGACGUCACGACCAAUGAGAACGGCCUGCAGGGGGCGCAAGGAUUCACUUCUCUCUUGGACACUGACGGGUCUCGACACGCAAAUUCUGCUCCUGGCGUUGGCCGUCAGUGGAAGAGCGUAGCUUCGGUGGGGUUCUGUCUGCCUCUGAUGGGGUGCGGAUGUGUGGUUCGUCACUGGUGAAUGGUGUACGACGAUGCAGGUGGAUUUUGUAACGAGCGGGUUUACAAUGAGGGAAUGCUGUGAACGGGAAAAAUUAUGGUGAGUGUCUUUUCACUCUGUUCAAGUGUUCGUUUUCCUCUGUUGCUCAGCAGUCGUACAAUUUGUGCUGACGUGUUCUGACAUGGCCCGAUAUGCAUGCUUUCCUGUGUUGACGUUUUGUAAUUUUUCUCUUUUGACAAGGAACAUUGUUGUCUUGACGAUAGUGCUGCCCUGAGUUCUGCGCUCCUCUUUACCCUUACUCUGUGUUGAUUUGUUGAGUACCUAGUCCUCUUAUUUGCCGUUGAUGGAGUUACGUGUUAGGAUAUUUUGUUCUUUUGCAAGUCUCAUUUAGUAAGACUUUGGAAUUCCUACGAUCAGCUUUCAUGCAUGGUGCUCUUCUGCAAUAGUUUCCUAUUCAGUUGUUAUAGAAUAAUAAAGGAAAUAAUCUUGGGAUAGUGAUUCAAUAAAUAAUAGGUCCCCUGUCUAUAGCGCACGCGUCCUUGAGCCACGCAGGUGCAUGAUGACGUCAUACCGUGGCUUCACUACAGAUUGACCAAAGGAGCAUUAGUGGAAAAGAACAGUGUAGCCCUGAGACAAUAGGAUGACGACACGACCAAUGAGAACGGCCAGCAGGGGGCGCAGGAAUGCUCUUCUCUCUUAGCCUCACGACCAAUGAGAACGGCCAGCAGGGGGCGCAGGAAUGCUCUUCUCACUUAGCCUCACGACCAAUGAGCAACGAGAGAAGAGGGCGCAGGAAUGCUGUUCACUCUUAGCCUCUCGGAGGUGGUCACCCCAGAGGGCGCUAGGAGCGCGUAUGCGUAGCGGCCGCGGAGCGGCGCCCCAGUCAGUUUCUCUCCGGCUGUCGCAGAAAGCAGACGUGCGCUCCCCGCGCUCGCUCAGUUUCUGGCUGGUUGUCACGGAGAGCAGUCGCAUCGGUCUGCGCUCCUGCUGUGGUGAGGUGAUUUGUUGCGUAACUAAUGCUUUCGUCAACUUUGUUCCCGCUUUGUUUGCGAUUUUCGUGCCAGUGCUGGUUGCUGUUGACCGGGCAUCCCCGGCAUUUUCUAUCAUCUUCUGCCUUGGGAACGGCAGUAGCGCUGGCGUGAUUCUUAAUAAUUUUGUUGUGAGAUUAGUUGAGAAAGUAACCGCUAGGGGGUGCAGCUGCGGGGCUUUAUACAGGACAAAAAAGCAUUACGAGUCAGUUUCUGCCUGCCUCUCGGAUGGAGCAGUCGCAUGGUUCUGCGCUCCUGUUGUGGUGGGAUCAUUUGUUGUGUAACUAGUUCUAUUUUCUUGUUAGCUAUUGAUGGUUUGCAUACUCUUGCUUUCCCAGCCUCUGUAUUACGAGUGUUUUUCUCCUUGCAUGUCCAGAGCUGUCCUAACUUGCCCAGACAUGCCAUGAUGACGUCACAGCUGACGUCACAGGAUGUCCGGAACUGGUGCUGCGAUGCUUUGCAACCUGCCUCCGUGCUCCGUCGCCCAGCGACAGUCAGCGGCCGUUCCGGACCGCUUUCUACAAGAUGGCGUUGUUGAUCUUCAACUAAACUCCUUCUCUCCACUCUAUCUCUAUCUAUUUUUUUUAUUUUUUAUCAGCUCAAGUAGCCGGCAACUCACACAGUGGUCUGGACGUGUCUUAGAUGAUCCCCAAUUAGUGUAAUGACUCCCUGGUGGGUCCUGAUUAAUGUGGGGGGUCCCAAUUAGCUCUAAUUGCUAAUUAAUGGCGUCCAGACGAAGAUGUGAGUUUCCGGAUACUUGAGCUGAUCCCAUACUACUGCUGAGAACACGAAUGCAACUGAGAACAUUCUCGCGGUUCCGAAUCCAUUACCGUUUCAAAGUGUUGACAUCGUGUUUAGUGCGUCUGCUGAGUCGAGUCUUCAAAACCAAGAAUACGAUGGAGACGCUCGCUCAUCCAGUGUUCCUCCGCAAGCUAACUUUGAAGAGCAGCUGAGAUCGUGGGCGCUUGCACCGUCUGUGUCACAUGUAGAUAAUCUCUCUUCCAAGGUCGGUGGGGGGGUUCCUCUUGACCACUGCUCCUUCGAAAAGGGGGUGACAGUUUAACGCAAAAGAAAAGAGUGUAAGUGAGCUGGGGUACGUUCGAAAGUGGUAUCAUUUCCCUCAGUUUGAGGAGAAAGAUGCGGACAGGAACACAUAACAGAACGGGAGGAGUUGUGUCGCUGUCCGUGUCUUUCUCCCUACGCUCACAGAAGUAAUACCACUUUCGUGUGACAGCUGUUGAGACAGAAAUUUGAAUGAAAGUGUCGACAUCUGAUGACUCACACGUUGGGAAAACAUCUAAGCUGCUCUGUAGUUUAUUUUUAAUAAAAAUUCUGUGAGAGCUAAAAACAAACAUCCUGUGUGACAUGUCUCGAAACCUGUCUUGCUAUCUGAACAUGCAGAUCAGUCUGAAAACAGCAUUGUGCAAGCCUUUUUAUGCAUUAUGCAUUGAGUAGAAAGGUAUCCCAGCUUUACUUUGAUGUGUACACAGCCAUUAGAAGCAGCGGCUUAGCCAGAAAAAUAUUUCUGGAGGGGUUCUUCAGGGACAUAUGUGGGAGACGGGGAUUCCUGCUCAUUCCCCUCUCCCAAAUGUAUCCAUUUAGGGAGUCUCAACCCCGAAACCCCAGAGCUUCUGGCUAUGCCAGAUGUUAAAAGCUUAGUCUAUGAAAUUAUCUGAUUAACUAGAGAAGUAUGACCACAGUUACCUAACGCUAUUCAGCACUAUCAACAUUAUCAUUUAUAACGCCAUCAACAUGACUAUAUUCUUUUCCAUAAGGGAGCCAAAACAGCCCCAAUGCUUCGUACAGUGGGCAUAGCGAAGUUGAAAAGGAUGAUUCAUUGGAGCUGCAGGGCUGCAUCCCAGUCGGGUAUAUUGAAGGACCGUCUCAUAUGCCUAGCGUAACAGCAGCGUCAAGCUUCAGAGUACCUGAACUGUCUCACACUCUCUAAUAGGAACAUUCUGCGAGCAGUAUUCGCCCCACCUCUGCUUCUGCCCCUCCCUCGGCUGUCCAAACCAGAAGUGUACCUGAGUUGCCCCACACACUGUACCAGGAACAUUCCGCCAGCAGUAUUCGCCCCAUCUCCGCUGCUGCUCCUCCCUCAGCUGUCCAUACCAGAAGUGCACCUGAACUGCCCCACAUGCCGCACCAGGAAUACUCUGUCAGCCGUAUACGCCCCACCACUGCUCCUGCUCCUCCCUCGGCUGCCCAACCCAGAAGUGCACCCGAACUGCCUCGCAUUCUGUACCAGGAACAUUCCAUCACCCGUAUUCGCCCCACCUCCACCUCUGCUUCUGCUGCUUCCUCAGCUGUUCAUGCCAGAAGUGCACCUCUACAAGGGUUCUAAGGAGAGGUGCUGAAAUUGCUUCAUAUGCUCCAACUAACACAGCACACGCACGGCGAGCAGCUUCAGGCUAUUCUUCGAGCAUUGAAUAACUCUACUAACCCUGCAAAUCAGACAGUGCUUGUGGAGGAGCCUUUCCGGUCCGUAGCUGACUUCCUGAAGUUCGAUGAAGAACUUCAAACGGCAGCGGGAAAAAAGGAGCAGCUGGUAAAAAGUCACUUUGUUGCCAUAUGAGGUUGCCGAUACGUGCACUCACGGACUGACCUAGCGAGCUUCUAUGAGCCACGAAAUGGGUCUGAUGUACCCAGUAGCUUUUAGUAGUAUAUAUACUUUUUUUGUCGGCAGCAGAUUUUCUUGAGACAUGCUUACUCUGAUGUUGGUAUAAAGGCCACAUAUGGCCUUUUAUCCAUGUCUUAUUACCAAACAAUAGUGAGAAAUAUCGGAAGCAGAAAUAUAUUGGUUCUGUGGGAAGUAUGAUGGUGCGAGCAGUUUAGCCACAGUUGAGACAAUCUUUUUUAGCAGAAUAUCAGUCGUCGAGUGUACUCCUGUCCGUUGUUGUACUUCGCCCUCUGCAUUGAAUGUAAUUUGUUGUUGUUGUUGUUUUUUUCUGCUUCAUAUCUUUUAUACAGGGUGUCAGGGAAAACAUGUCAUUGAAUUAUAAUAAAAAACUACACCACCUAGAGUCAUGCGGCCAAUGGCAUUUGUUCUUACUGGGUUUUUGCCACCUCCUCAUGUGAAUGUCGUGUAACGUAAGUUUAAUAGUAGUAAUCAUUCAACCCAAGUUUUACACAGAAAAUCCACGGCAAGUGUUGCACUUUUUACUUUAAAAUUAUUUUAAAAUUACUUUCAAUUUUUUUAAAAAUGUCAAUUUUAAUUUUUUUAAAUUGUGCAAAAUCUAACGCAAUGCAAUACUUGUCGUCGAUUUUUAUGUAAAACUCGGGUUGUAGAAAAAAAAACUAGAUAGGAAGGAAGCUAAGAGCAGCCAUCUCCAAAAUGACGAAUCUGCGUCUUGAAACUUUCUUUUCUUCUGUGUUUCGGUGAUAUGACAUACGGGACAAGAUCUUCACGCGGCAAGGGACGCCGACGGCGGCAAUUCAUCUACCGUCGACGAUUCUGCAGAUGGCGUCGUGUCGUCAGUCAUGCUGUGUCUCCGGCGUGCCUCGUACAAACAAAACAGCACACAUUGAAACAGCUUGCACAUUGAAAACCAUAAGCAGGUUGAUUCUGUGUAUUUUGAUCUGUCUAAGGCCUUUGACACUAUUAAUCAUGAAUUGUUGAUCACAAAGUUGUCACUAUAUGGUAUCUCACUUUCACUCUGCAAAUGGUUUUCUUCCUAUCUCUGCGGCCGGUACAACAUUGUUCGGUACAAAGAUGCAUAUUCUCAUCCUUACUACAUGACAUCUGCCGUGCCCCAGGGAUCUACCCUGGGGCCAUUACUGUUUAACAUGUUUGUUAACGAUUUGUAACCUGUCUACGUAACUGCCACGUCCUGCAAUAUGCUGAUGACAUUAAGUUAUUUCGUGUCAUUGAUGAGAUUCACGACUGUACCGCUCUGCAAGAUGACAUUUCUCGAAUCCAUCGUUGGUGCUCAAACAAUUUGCUUAACCUGAACAUUUCUAAGACAGCCGUCAUCUCUUUCACUCGAAAGCCGCAUCCAUGUCAUUAUACUUACUCUCUCGACUCUGUUCAUAUUAGACGUGAAUCGUCCAUUAAAGACUUGGGUCUUCAUCUUGACAGCUCUUUAACUUUUCACACGCAUGUAACUCAGCUGUGCAACUGUGCGAUGCGUAAACUCGGCAUCAUCUCGCGGAUCACCAAAAACUUUCAAGAUCCAUCUUGUUUCCUUCGCCUAUUCUUCUCCACCGUACUCCCUCUUCUUGAAUUUGCAUCAGUGGCCUGGAACUGCCUCAGUAUCACUCAGUCCGCUGACAUAGAAAACGUCCAGCGACGCUUCAUCUUUGUUUUUCAUCUUCGUCAUCUUGGCUGCAGCACUUACUAUAACUACGAUCAUAUACUGAAUAAACUCUCCAUUCCCACACUAUCUCAUCGCAGAACGAUUCGUGACUGUCAUUUCUUGUAUAAGCUCAUACAUUCUGUCAUCGCCUGCCCCGAACUACUUUCGUGCAUCAACUUUCGAGUGCCCUCACGUUCUCUGAGGUCUCAUCUUCUUUUCUAUCCUCACUCUUUUGCAAAGCUUCAUCCAAUCAAUCGUUUACAACUAAUGUUUAACUCCGCCUUACAACACCAUGACAUCGACAUUUUCGCUCCUUCUCGUGAUUUUCUUACUAGUAUUAGUGCCAUUGUUUCUAUUUAACUUCGUUUGUUUUACUGUUAACCUUGUUGGCUUUUUGUAUAUUUUACUGUCUUUGUUCACGUGUAUAACCUUGUGCGGUGCACCAAUUAGUAGACCCUAGUGGUUGUUUUUGGGUACCUUAACAAAA